This 442-nucleotide ribosomal RNA is filed under the name uncultured bacterium. Its description in RNAcentral is "partial 16S ribosomal RNA". It matches the Rfam family "Bacterial small subunit ribosomal RNA", at positions 339 to 795 of the family's 1533-position model. The record is from RNAcentral.
CUACGGGGGGCAGCAGUAGGGAAUAUUGCGCAAUGGGGGAAACCCUGACGCAGCGACACCGCGUGAGUGAUGAAGGCCUUUGGGUUGUAAAGCUCUGUUCUAUAGGAAGAAACAAAUGACGGUACUAUAGAAGAAAGGACCGGCUAACUUCGUGCCAGCAGCCGCGGUAAUACGAGGGGUCCAAGCGUUGCUCGGAAUCAUUGGGCGUAAAGCGGGUGUAGGCGGUUUAGUAAGUCAGAAGUGAAAGCCCAGGGCUUAACCUUGGAAGUGCUUUUGAUACUGCUAAACUUGAGUAUGGGAGAGGAUAGUAGAAUUCCUGGUGUAGUGAUGAAAUACGUAGAUAUCAGGAGGAAUUCCGGAGGCGAAGGCGGCUAUCUGGCCCAAUACUGACGCUCAGACCCGAAAGCGUGGGGAGCAAACAGGAUUAGAUACCCCUGUAGUC